This 1002-nucleotide ribosomal RNA is filed under the name Haemophilus massiliensis. RNAcentral describes it as "bacterial LSU rRNA". It matches the Rfam family "Bacterial large subunit ribosomal RNA", at positions 1659 to 2644 of the family's 2925-position model. Lineage: Bacteria; Pseudomonadati; Pseudomonadota; Gammaproteobacteria; Pasteurellales; Pasteurellaceae. The record is from RNAcentral.
ACAGGUGGUCAGGUAGAGAAUACUCAGGCGCUUGAGAGAACUCGGGUGAAGGAACUAGGCAAAAUAGCACCGUAACUUCGGGAGAAGGUGCGCUUACGGUAGUUAAAGUCCGAAACGGAUGGAGGUGAAGUAAGUCGAAGAGACCAGCUGGCUGCAACUGUUUAUUAAAAACACAGCACUCUGCAAACACGAAAGUGGAGGUAUAGGGUGUGAUGCCUGCCCGGUGCUGGAAGGUUAAUUGAUGGUGUAAUCGGAAGAGAAGCAUCGGAUCGAAGCCCCAGUAAACGGCGGCCGUAACUAUAACGGUCCUAAGGUAGCGAAAUUCCUUGUCGGGUAAGUUCCGACCUGCACGAAUGGCAUAAUGAUGGCCAGGCUGUCUCCACCCGAGACUCAGUGAAAUUGAAAUCGCCGUGAAGAUGCGGUGUACCCGCGGCUAGACGGAAAGACCCCGUGAACCUUUACUAUAGCUUGACACUGAACCUUGAAUUUUGAUGUGUAGGAUAGGUGGGAGGCGAAGAAGCGGUAACGCCAGUUAUCGUGGAGCCGUUGUUGAAAUACCACCCUUUAAGGUUUGAUGUUCUAACGAAGAUUACGAAACGUGGUCUCGGACAGUGUCUGGUGGGUAGUUUGACUGGGGCGGUCUCCUCCCAAAGAGUAACGGAGGAGCACGAAGGUUUGCUAAUGACGGUCGGACAUCGUCAGGUUAGUGCAAUGGUAAAAGCAAGCUUAACUGCGAGACGGACAAGUCGAGCAGGUGCGAAAGCAGGUCAUAGUGAUCCGGUGGUUCUGAAUGGAAGGGCCAUCGCUCAACGGAUAAAAGGUACUCCGGGGAUAACAGGCUGAUACCGCCCAAGAGUUCAUAUCGACGGCGGUGUUUGGCACCUCGAUGUCGGCUCAUCACAUCCUGGGGCUGAAGUAGGUCCCAAGGGUAUGGCUGUUCGCCAUUUAAAGUGGUACGCGAGCUGGGUUUAGAACGUCGUGAGACAGUUCGGUCCCUAUCUG